Cricetulus griseus (Chinese hamster) is the source of this 59-nucleotide non-coding RNA. The record is from Rfam. NCBI's taxonomy places the organism in Eukaryota, Metazoa, Chordata, Mammalia, Rodentia, Cricetidae.
UGGCUCAGAGGUUAAGAGCACUGGGCUGCUCUUCCAGAGGUCCUGAGUUCAAUUCCCAG